RNAcentral lists this unclassified non-coding RNA (273 nucleotides) under Agaricales sp. Its description in RNAcentral is "partial contains 5.8S ribosomal RNA, internal transcribed spacer 2, and large subunit ribosomal RNA". Lineage: Eukaryota; Fungi; Basidiomycota; Agaricomycetes; Agaricales. The record is from RNAcentral.
CGCACCUUGCGCUCUUUGGUAUUCCGAAGAGCAUGCCUGUUCGAGUGUUAUUAAAUUCUCAAACCAAUAGCUUUAUUGUCUAUUGGCUUUGGACUUUGAGGGUUGUUGGUGCAAAUCGACUCCCUUUAAAUAUAUUAGCUGGCAUUGACUGCCAGACUAUGGUGUGAUAAUUAUCUACGCUAUUGGUCUGACAUGUUGGCUGCUUCUAAUCGUCUUCGGACAACACUCUUGAAAUUUAACCUCGAAUCAGGUAGGACUACCCGCUGAACUUAA